Molecule: long non-coding RNA, 2236 nt
Organism: Chinchilla lanigera (long-tailed chinchilla)
Lineage: Eukaryota; Metazoa; Chordata; Mammalia; Rodentia; Chinchillidae
Exons: 5
Source: RefSeq, a predicted model, not a curated record
UUUGGGCUUUCUUUACCGAGGUCUUCGGCAUGUCCACAUAUUCAAAGAAUGGCUGCACAACCACUGUAAAAUCCUCUCUGGGUCAGCCAGAAGGAGAGCCCCAUUGACAGAGAAUCCUCAUGUCUGACCUCCUGGGCCAGCCUCUUCCAUUACAAGCAUAUCCCUGAGUAAGACACAAGGGAAGGAGCGUGACCUCUCACAAGAAGACUUCCAGAAGAUACAAUCUCCUAAUAGUUGUGUGACUCUCAGCAAGCCCCUUCCCUCUCAGAACCUUCAUUUCCUCAUCUGGAUAUAAAGGAUAUCAGGCAAAGCCUGGACCAUCUCUUAAGCCCUUUCCAAUGCUACUAGUUCCUCUGGCGGUCAGCCAUGAUGGCUCACAGUGGAGCAAAGAAAAGACAUAGUGUAUCAAGCCCCUGGCAUUUGGGAAGAGCUAAACAAAUGACUGUGGUUAUUAAUAGCAAAGAUCAUCUUGAGGGAAAGGGAUGAGAACCAUAACUUUUGCAGAGAGAAGGGAAUGAGAUGAUCCUGAGAGGAUGAGAUGGCCUCACGUGACUGAUAUGUGCCUCCAGGACUCGAGAUCAUGGUCUCAGUGGUGGCCAAGAUCAGACCUGGGAACAGCCAGCCUAUCUUUGUGAACGCUAUCUUCUCAGUAUCUGAACUGACUUCCUAUGUUUGAAGACCCCGACCAUAGGAAGAACAGCCUGCCUCUUCAAGGAGUAGCUGGAAAAAUCAGAUCACCUCCCCAGCCUAUGAAGGAGGCCUCCAUCCAAACCCCAUCUCAGGGACAAGACGGGAUCCACUCCGCUGAUGAAGUUGGAAGCAUCAGGAAUCCUUGCUAAGGAAGGGCCUGGCUGCUCAACCUGUGCGCUGGGCCAAGGGAGGCUGAAGACAGUGUCCCUGACCUGGAUUUGCUCUUGAAAAUGAGACAGCUGCUUCCAACAUCUGUACAGGGAGGAGUGACUUUCAUGGAGCUGGCUUACCUUGUGGCUGUCUGAGGACGAUGCUGUGCGGAGGUGCACCUCCUUCUAAAUAAUAAUUGCUAAUAUCCACUGAAUGAUCUUCAAGCAGAGCUAGCUGGCAAAUGACUCUGAACCUUCAGGUUUAAUGGUCUAAAACCCCCAGGGAAGCAGCAGCAAGAGACUUUUUGGAGAGCUGCUCUGAAGCAGGAUGAACACACGUAACCCCUGUGUGGCCUAGUGACUGGAGAAAGUGGGAGCCGGUGGAUGUGUCAGCAGUUGAAAAUAGCAUGCCUGACACCAGCUGUGUUAAUAGGCGCAUGUCACCCGGCAGCCAUCCUGUCUCUGCUCUCAGCGCCCUGGGGCCUUCUCAGCGGGACCUGCGCAGUCCAGGCCCCCAGGCAGGUUCUGGCAUGGACCUUCAGGGGAUCAGCCAAAGUCGGCCUUACUUUCCAAGACCAAGUCUGGCCCUUGUGAAUUAUUCAUUCAGUCAUUCAGCAAGCAGCUGUGAGGCACCUACACUGUGCUAGCAGUGACUCAGAGUUCCCAGGCUGUGGGGGAUAAUUACCAUGUGGUAAUGACUAAUUACCUCAUGGUGUGUCAAGGCUGUGGAGGGGGCUGUGGGGGGGCAUUGCGCUGCCACUGUGACCUGGGCUAAUGGUCCAGAGGACUUGUAGGAAGGAAUGCUAUGGAAACAGUCACGCUUUGGUUAUAAGAGUAUCGUGUUCCCAAAUGUCACAGAAAUGUAUAAUACUAGAAGGGGCAGCCAUCUCUGUUUACCUGUGGAGGCUGAGGGUUAAAGCCGGCCUCACAGGGCCUCACAGGGUGGUUGUUCUCUAGGAAAGACUAUUCUCUGGACCUUGCUGAUUCUGACUUGGUCACCUUCUCCUUUAGGAAGUGAUAAUUUCCCUGUAUUUGUGAAUGUCCAGUCUGGAGCACACCUGCCAACCAGAGGCACUGUCCAUGUGGGGAUGGUGGUAUUCUGCACACACCAUGAAGUAGAUCUUCAUAGCAGCCUGAGUCCUCUUUGAGUACUGCCAACAUGACCUGACUUCACCCUUGAUAUCUUGUUCUCCUCUUCCUGGAGGAUGGGGGUUGGGGGGAGACAGUAACUGCUAUGGUAACAGUAGCAGGAUUGGGUUCCACACACACCCUGAGGGAAGUAACUGAGGCCUAUACUGGGGUCAAAAGUCCUGGGAUAUCCUUCCAUGAGAUUGCUCUGGUUUUUGUCUAUGUUUUUAUUUAUUCUCAUCCUCUCUCUCUCUCUCUCUCUCUCUCUC